UUCCGGUUGAUCCUGCCGGACCUGACUGCUAUCGGAUUGAUACUAAGCCAGGCGAGUCAUUGUAGCAAUACAAGGCAGACGGCUCAGUAACGCGUAGUCAACCUAACCUAUGGACGGGAAUAACCUCGGGAAACUGAGAAUAAUGCCCGAUAGAACACUAUAUCUGGAAUGGUUUGUGUUCCAAAUGAUUUAUCGCCGUAGGAUGGGACUGCGGCCUAUCAGUUUGUUGGUGAGGUAAUGGCCCACCAAGACUAUUACAGGUACGGGCUCUGAGAGGAGUAGCCCGGAGAUGGGUACUGAGACACGGACCCAGGCCCUAUGGGGCGCAGCAGGCGAGAAAACUUUGCAAUGUGCGAAAGCACGACAAGGUUAAUCCGAGUGGUUUGUGCUAAACGAACCUUUUGUCGGUCCUAGAAACACCGAUGAAUAAGGGGUGGGCAAGUUCUGGUGUCAGCCGCCGCGGUAAAACCAGCACCUCAAGUGGUCAGGAUGAUUAUUGGGCCUAAAGCAUCCGUAGCCGGCGCUAUAAGUUUUCGGUUAAAUCUGUACGCUCAACGUACAGGCUGCCGGGAAUACUGUAGCGCUAGGGAGUGGGAGAGGUAGACGGUACUCGGUAGGAAGGGGUAAAAUCCUUUGAUCUAUUGAUGACCACCUGUGGCGAAGGCGGUCUACCAGAACACGUCCGACGGUGAGGGAUGAAAGCUGGGGGAGCAAACCGGAUUAGAUACCCGGGUAGUCCCAGCUGUAAACUAUGCAAACUCAGUGAUGCAUUGGCUUGUGGCCAAUGCAGUGCUGCAGGGAAGCCGUUAAGUUUGCCGCCUGGGAAGUACGUACGCAAGUAUGAAACUUAAAGGAAUUGGCGGGGGAGCACCACAAGGGGUGAAGCCUGCGGUUCAAUUGGAGUCAACGCCGGA
This 914-nucleotide ribosomal RNA is filed under the name uncultured Nitrososphaerota archaeon. RNAcentral's name for it is "bacterial SSU rRNA". It matches the Rfam family "Archaeal small subunit ribosomal RNA", at positions 1 to 922 of the family's 1478-position model. The record is from RNAcentral. Lineage: Archaea; Thermoproteati; Nitrososphaerota.